UACGGAGGGUGCGAGCGUUACUCGGAAUUACUGGGCGUAAAGCGUACGUAGGCUGUUUAGCAAGUUUGGUGUGAAAGCCCUCGACUCAAUCGAGGAAGUGCAUUGAAUACUGCUAGACUAGAGGAUUGGAGAGGAGAACGGAAUUCCUGGUGUAGAGGUGAAAUGCGUAGAUAUCUGGAGGAACACCAAUGGCGAAGGCAGCUUACUGGACGACAACUGACGCUGAGGCACGAAAGCGUGGGUAGCGAAAGGG
RNAcentral lists this ribosomal RNA (253 nucleotides) under uncultured bacterium. RNAcentral's name for it is "partial 16S ribosomal RNA". It matches the Rfam family "Bacterial small subunit ribosomal RNA", at positions 524 to 776 of the family's 1533-position model. The record is from RNAcentral.